This 271-nucleotide ribosomal RNA is filed under the name uncultured bacterium. RNAcentral describes it as "partial 16S ribosomal RNA". It matches the Rfam family "Bacterial small subunit ribosomal RNA", at positions 524 to 794 of the family's 1533-position model. The record is from RNAcentral.
UACGUAGGGUGCGAGCGUUAAUCGGAAUUACUGGGCGUAAAGCGUGCGCAGGCGGUCAUAUAAGACAGGCGUGAAAUCCCCGGGCUUAACCUGGGAAUGGCGCCUGUGACUGUAUAACUAGAGUGUGUCAGAGGGGGGUAGAAUUCCGCGUGUAGCAGUGAAAUGCGUAGAUAUGUGGAGGAAUACCAAUGGCGAAGGCAGCUCCCUGGGAUAACACUGACGCUCAUGCACAAAAGCGUGGGGAGCAAACAGGAUUAGAUACCCCAGUAGU